AUUGAACGCUGGCGGCAGGCCUAACACAUGCAAGUCGAGCGAGCGGAGGACGGGUGAGUAAUGUCUGGGAAACCGUCUGUCGGAGGGGGAUAACUAAUGGAAACGGUUGCUAAUACCGUACACCAUCCGCUGUGCCCAGUUGGGAUUAGCUAGUGGGUGGGGUAACGGCUCACCUAGGCGACGAACCCUAGCUGGUCUGCGCGGUUGACCAGCCACACUGGAACUGAGACACGGUCCAGACUCCUACGGGAGGCAGCAGUGGGGAAUAUUGCGCAAUGGGCGCAAGCCUGAUGCAGCCAUGCCGCGUGUGUGAAGAAGGCCUUCGGGUUGUAAAGCACUUUCAGCGGGGAGGCGUUACCCGCAGAAGAAGCACCGGCUAACUCCGUGCCAGCAGCCGCGGUAAUAC
RNAcentral lists this ribosomal RNA (406 nucleotides) under uncultured bacterium. RNAcentral's name for it is "partial 16S ribosomal RNA". It matches the Rfam family "Bacterial small subunit ribosomal RNA", at positions 30 to 526 of the family's 1533-position model. The record is from RNAcentral.